RNAcentral lists this ribosomal RNA (440 nucleotides) under uncultured bacterium. Its description in RNAcentral is "partial 16S ribosomal RNA". It matches the Rfam family "Bacterial small subunit ribosomal RNA", at positions 338 to 795 of the family's 1533-position model. The record is from RNAcentral.
CCUACGGUGGGCAGCAGUAGGGAAUAUUGCACAAUGGGCGAAACCCUGAAGCAGCAACGCCGCGUGGGGGAUGGAGGCUUUCGGAUUGUAAACUCCUUUUGUUAAAGGACAUAAUGACGUUAUCUAACGAAUAAGCACCGGCUAACUCCGUGCCAGCAGCCGCGGUAAUACGGGGGGUGCAAGCGUUACUCGGAAUCACUGGGCGUAACGAGCGCGUAGGCGGGAUAGCAAGUCAGAUGUGAAAGCCUAUGGCUUAACCAUAGAACUGCGUUUGAAACUGUUAUGCUAGAGUAUGGGAGAGGUAGGUGGAAUUCUUGGUGUAGGGGUAAAAUCUGUAGAGAUCAAGAGGAAUACUCAUGGCGAAGGCGACCUGCUAGAACAUAACUGACGCUGAGGCGCGAAAGCGUGGGGAGCAAACAGGAUUAGAUACCCGUGUAGUC